RNAcentral lists this unclassified non-coding RNA (215 nucleotides) under rhizosphere metagenome. RNAcentral describes it as "partial ribosomal RNA internal transcribed spacer region". The record is from RNAcentral.
GUAGGUGAACCUGCGGAAGGAUCAUUACAGAGUUCAUGCCCUUACGGGUAGAUCUCCCCACCCUUGAAUAUUAUACCUUUGUUGCUUUGGCGGGCCGCUUCGGCUACCGGCUCCAGCUGGUAAGUGCCCGCCAGAGGACCUAAACUCUUGAAUUAUAGUGUCGUCUGAGUACUAUAUAAUAGUUAAAACUUUCAACAACGGAUCUCUUGGUUCUG